AGUCGAACGGCAACACGGACUUCGGUCUGGUGGCGAGUGGCGAACGGGUGAGUAAUGUAUCGGAACGUGCCUAGUAGCGGGGGAUAACUACGCGGCGUAGCUAAUGCCACAUACGCCCUUCGGGGAAAAGCGGGGGACCUUCGGGCCUCGCACUAUUAGAGCGGCCGAUAUCGGAUUAGCUAGUUGGUGGGGUAACGGCUCCGCAAGGCGACGAUCCGUAGCUGGUUUGAGAGGACGACCAGCCACACUGGGACAGGACACGGCCCAGACUCCUGCAGGAGGCAACGUUGGAAUUUGGACAAUGGGGGAAACCCUGAUCCAGCCAUCCCGCGUGUGCGAUGAAGGCCUUCGGGUUGUAAAGCACUUUUGGCAGGAAAACGGCACGGGAUAAUACCCCGUGCAACUGACAAACACCUGCAGAAUAAGCACCGGAAAAGCUAUACGUGCCAGCAGCCGCGGUGACCGUAGGGUGCAGCGUUAAUCGGAAUUACUGGGCGUAAAGCGUGCGCAGGCGGUUCGGAAGAAGAUGUGAAAUCCCAGAGCCUUUGAACUGCAUUUUUAACUACCGAGCUAGAGUGUGUCAGAGGGAGGUGGAAUUCCCGCCGUGUAACUUGGUGAAAUGCGUAGAUAACAGGAAGGACUUACCGAUGGCGAAGGCAGCCUCCUGGGAUAACACCGACGCUCAUGCACGAAAGCGUGGGGAGCAAACAGGAUUAGAUACCCUGGUAGUCCACGCCUAAACGAUGUCAACUAGCUGUUGGGGCCUUCGGGCCUUGGUAGCGCAGCUAACGCGUGAGAUUGACCGCCUGGGGAGAUACGGUCGCAAGAUUAAAACUCAAAGGAAUUGACGGGGACCCGCACAAGCGGUGGAUGAUGUGGAUUAAUUCGAUGCAACGCGAAAAACCUUACCUGCCGCUUGACAUGUCUGGAAUCCCGAAGAGAUUUGGGAGUGGCUCGCAAGAGAACGGAACACAGGUGCUGCAUGGCUGUCGUCAGCUCGUGUGUUGAGAUGUUGGGUUAAGUCCCGCAACGAGCACCCUUGUCAUUAGUUGCUACGAAAGGGCACUCUAAUGAGACUGCCGGUGACAAACCGGAGGAAGGUGCAGGGAUGACGUCCAGUCCUCACCAGCCCUUGCGCGGGUAGGAGCUUCACACACGUCAUACAAUGGUCGGGACAGGGUCGCCAACCCGCGAGGGGGAGCCAAUCCCAGAAACCCGAUCGUAGUCCGGAUCGCCGGUCUGCAACUCGACUGCGUGAAGUCGAAUCGCUGGUAAUCGCGGAUCAGCAUGUCGCGGUGAAUACGUUCCAGGUCUUUAUACCACACCGCCCGUCACACCAUGGGAGUGGGUUUUACCAGAAGUAGUUAGCCUAACCGUAAGGAGGGCGAUUACCACGGUAAGUUCAUGACUGGGGUGAAGUCGUAACAAAGGCAA
RNAcentral lists this ribosomal RNA (1434 nucleotides) under uncultured Bordetella sp. RNAcentral's name for it is "partial 16S-23S ribosomal RNA intergenic spacer". It matches the Rfam family "Bacterial small subunit ribosomal RNA". The record is from RNAcentral. Lineage: Bacteria; Pseudomonadati; Pseudomonadota; Betaproteobacteria; Burkholderiales; Alcaligenaceae.